GUUGUCUUGCCUUGUUUAAAUCAUGCAUUUUCUUUUCCCAAAUUCGACUUCUGAGAUUGUGUAUAUAAACCUAACAAAUGCUUAGAUUUCAUCGAUUUCUAUCAUUCUCUCAUCAUUGUUCAACCAAAGAAGAUGAUUGGUGUUAACAUAAGUUAUGAAGAUGGAAAGAAAAAACCGAACACGGUGAGAAAGACGAUGGAAAAACUCAAAUCUGUAUUUGAUAAGAAGAAACCUAAUCAUCAUGAAGAAGACUCAAGUCAGACUUCGCCAUAUUUAACCAAAGCUUUAAACGAGGGCCUAUCAUAUGAGCUGUUCAAAAUCCAGCAGAAGUUGGAUCAGAGAAAUUUUAUCCUUGUAAGUGUGUAGUUUCUGG
This is a non-coding RNA of Camelina sativa (false flax), 373 nucleotides long. Lineage: Eukaryota; Viridiplantae; Streptophyta; Magnoliopsida; Brassicales; Brassicaceae. The record is from RefSeq and is a predicted model, not a curated record.